RNAcentral lists this ribosomal RNA (1081 nucleotides) under uncultured Rhizaria. RNAcentral describes it as "SSU rRNA". It matches the Rfam family "Eukaryotic small subunit ribosomal RNA", at positions 577 to 1674 of the family's 1831-position model. The record is from RNAcentral.
CGGUAAUUCCAGCUCCAAUAGCGUAUACUAAAGUUGUUGCAGUUAAAAAGCUCGUAGUUGGAUUUCUGCGGGGACGGAGCGGCCGGUCGCAACUUGCGACUCGAGCUAGCGCUUUCCCCGCAUCCUGCCGCGAACCGUGCUACCAUUAGUUUGGUGGCGCUGGGGAUCGGCUCGAUUACUUUGAGAAAAAUAGAGUGUUCAAAGCAGGCCACACGCCUUGAAUAAGUUAGCAUGGAAUAAUGACUAAGGACUUCGGUUCUAUUUUGUUGGUGUUUGGGACUGAAGUAAUGAUUGAUAGGGACAGUUGGGGCGGUCUGUAUUCCAAAGCGAGAGGUGAAAUUCUUAGACCUUCGGAAGACAAACAGCUGCGAAAGCGUUCCGCAAGGAUGUUCCCUUUGAUCAAGAACGAAAGUUGGGGGAUCGAAGACGAUCAGAUACCGUCGUAGUCUCAACUAUAAACUAUACCAGCUAGGGAUCGGUCAACGUUUAAUUAUUCGACUUGAUCGGCACCUUAUGAGAAAUCAAAGCAUCUGGGUUCCGGGGGGAGUAUGGUCGCAAGGCUGAAACUUAAAGGAAUUGACGGAAGGGCACCACCAGCCGUGGAGCCUGUGGCUUAAUUUGACUCAACACGGGAAAACUUACCAGGUCCAGACAUAGUAAGGAUUGACAGAUUGAUAGCUCUUUCUUGAUUCUGUGGGUGGUGGUGCAUGGCCGUUCUUAGUUGGUGGAGUGAUUUGUCUGGUUAAUUCCGUUAACGAACGAGACCCCAGCCUGCUAAAUAGCGCGGCUGAGCUUUGCUCGGUGCGAGCUUCUUAGAGGGACUAUGAUGCGCGAUAGCACAUGGAAGUUUGGGGCAAUAACAGGUCUGUGAUGCCCUUAGAUGUUCUGGGCCGCACACGGGCUACACUGGCGCCUGCAACGAGCAUAUCAGCUGGCCCGAGAGGGUCUUGGCUAAUCUUUUGAACCGGCGCCGUGCUUGGGAUUGACCUUUGCAAUUGUUGGUCAUGCAACGAGGAAUGCCUUGUAAACGCGAGUCAUCAGCUCGCAUUGAAUACGUCCCUGCCCCUUGUACACACCGCCC